UACACUUCGGUGGGGAUUAGUGGCGAACGGGUGAGUAACACGUGGGCAAUCUGCCCUUCACUCUGGGACAAGCCCUGGAAACGGGGUCUAAUACCGGAUACCACUCUCGCAGGCAUCUGUGAGGGUUGAAAGCUCCGGCGGUGAAGGAUGAGCCCGCGGCCUAUCAGCUUGUUGGUGAGGUAAUGGCUCACCAAGGCGACGACGGGUAGCCGGCCUGAGAGGGCGACCGGCCACACUGGGACUGAGACACGGCCCAGACUCCUACGGGAGGCAGCAGUGGGGAAUAUUGCACAAUGGGCGAAAGCCUGAUGCAGCGACGCCGCGUGAGGGAUGACGGCCUUCGGGUUGUAAACCUCUUUCAGCAGGGAAGAAGCGAAAGUGACGGUACCUGCAGAAGAAGCGCCGGCUAACUACGUGCCAGCAGCCGCGGUAAUACGUAGGGCGCAAGCGUUGUCCGGAAUUAUUGGGCGUAAAGAGCUCGUAGGCGGCUUGUCACGUCGGGUGUGAAAGCCCGGGGCUUAACCCCGGGUCUGCAUUCGAUACGGGCUAGCUAGAGUGUGGUAGGGGAGAUCGGAAUUCCUGGUGUAGCGGUGAAAUGCGCAGAUAUCAGGAGGAACACCGGUGGCGAAGGCGGAUCUCUGGGCCAUUACUGACGCUGAGGAGCGAAAGCGUGGGGAGCGAACAGGAUUAGAUACCCUGGUAGUCCACGCCGUAAACGGUGGGAACUAGGUGUUGGCCAUUCCACGUCGUCGGUGCCGCAGCUAACGCAUUAAGUUCCCCGCCUGGGGAGUACGGCCGCAAGGCUAAAACUCAAAGGAAUUGACGGGGGCCCGCACAAGCAGCGGAGCAUGUGGCUUAAUUCGACGCAACGCGAAGAACCUUACCAAGGCUUGACAUACACCGGAAAACCCUGGAGACAGGGUCCCCCUUGUGGUCGGUGUACAGGUGGUGCAUGGCUGUCGCAGUCAGCUCGUGUCGUGAGAUGUUGGGUUAAGUCCCGCAACGAGCGCAACCCUUGUCCUGUGUUGCCAGCAUGCCCUUCGGGGUGAUGGGGACUCACAGGAGACCGCCGGGGUCAACUCGGAGGAAGGUGGGGACGACGUCAAGUCAUCAUGCCCCUUAUGUCUUGGGCUGCACACGUGCUACAAUGGCCGGUACAAUGAGCUGCGAUACCGUGAGGUGGAGCGAAUCUCAAAAAGCCGGUCUCAGUUCGGAUUGGGGUCUGCAACUCGACCCCAUGAAGUCGGAGUUGCUAGUAAUCGCAGAUCAGCAUUGCUGCGGUGAAUACGUUCCCGGGCCUUGUACACACCGCCCGUCACGUCACGAAAGUUGGUAACACCCGAAGCCGGUUA
This 1352-nucleotide ribosomal RNA is filed under the name Streptomyces sp. RNAcentral describes it as "bacterial SSU rRNA". It matches the Rfam family "Bacterial small subunit ribosomal RNA", at positions 74 to 1433 of the family's 1533-position model. The record is from RNAcentral. Lineage: Bacteria; Bacillati; Actinomycetota; Actinomycetes; Kitasatosporales; Streptomycetaceae.